UGAAUACGAGAUGCUACGGCGUCGAAGCAGUCUAUGUCAUACUUCCAAGAAAAGCUUGCACUGUCACAAACAAAUAAUGCCUGUACCAUAACCGACACAGGUGGGUAGGUAGAGUAUACUAAGGGGCGCGAGAUAACUCUCUCUAAGGAACUCGGCAAAAUGACUCCGUAACUUCGGGAGAAGGAGUGCCUUAUUUAUAAGGUUGCAAUAACAAGAUCCAAGCAACUGUUUAUCAAAAACACAGGUCUCCGCUAAGUCGUAAGACGAUGUAUGGGGGCUGACGCCUGCCCAGUGCCAGAAGGUUAAAGAAGUUGGUUAGCAUUAGCGAAGCUGAUAACUGAAGCCCUGGUGAACGGCGGCCGUAACCAUAACGGUCCUAAGGUAGCGAAGUUCCUUGUCGGGUAAGUUCCGACCCGCACGAAAGGCGUAAUGAUUUGGAUACUGUCUCAGAGAGGGGCUCGGUGAAAUAGACUUGUCUGUGAAGAUGCGGACUACCUGCACCAGGACAGAAAGACCCUAUGAAGCUUUACUGUAACUUGAAAUUGAAAUUGGACUUUAUUUGCGCAGUAUAGGUGGGAGGCAUUGAGAACAUUCUUGCGGGAUUGUUGGAGCCAUCAGUGAGAUACCACUCUUGUAAUGUUAGAUUUCUAACUUUGUAUCAUUAUCUGGUCAAAGGACAGUUCCAGGCGGGCAGUUUGACUGGGGCGGUCGCCUCCUAAACGGUAACGGAGGCGCACAAAGGUUUCCUCUGAACGGGUAGAAAUCGUAUCUAGAGUGUAAAGGCAUAAGGAAGCUUGACUGUGAGACCUACAAGUCGAGCAGGGACGAAAGUCGGUCUUAGUGAUCUGACGGUGCUGAGUGGAAAGGCCGUCACUCAACGGAUAAAAGUUACUCAAGGGAUAACAGGCUGAUCUCCCCCAAGAGUUCACAUCGACGGGGAGGUUUGGCACCUCGAUGUCGGCUCAUCGCAUCCUGGGGCGGUAGUACGUCCCAAGGGUUGGGCUGUUCGCCCAUGAAAGCGGUACGCGAGCUGGGUUCAGAACGUCGUGAGACAGUUCGGUCCAUAUCCGGUGUAGGCGUUAGAAUAUUGAGAGGAGCCUUCUUUAGUACGAGAGGACCGAGAAGGACAUACCUCUGGUGUACCAGUUAUCGUGCCAACGGUAAACGCUGGGUAGCUAUGUAUGGAGAGGAUAACCGCUGAAAGCAUCUAAGUGGGAAGCCCACCUCAAGAUAAGUAUUCCC
RNAcentral lists this ribosomal RNA (1242 nucleotides) under metagenome. Its description in RNAcentral is "bacterial LSU rRNA". It matches the Rfam family "Bacterial large subunit ribosomal RNA", at positions 1564 to 2815 of the family's 2925-position model. The record is from RNAcentral.